RNAcentral lists this ribosomal RNA (290 nucleotides) under uncultured Alistipes sp. Its description in RNAcentral is "partial 16S ribosomal RNA". It matches the Rfam family "Bacterial small subunit ribosomal RNA", at positions 58 to 339 of the family's 1533-position model. Lineage: Bacteria; Pseudomonadati; Bacteroidota; Bacteroidia; Bacteroidales; Rikenellaceae. The record is from RNAcentral.
ACAAGUCAGGGGCAGCACAAAUGAGUAGCAAUACUUAUUGGUGGCGACCGGCGCACGGGUGCGUAACGCGUAUGCAACCUACCUGUAACAGGGGGAUAACACUGAGAAAUUGGUACUAAUACCCCAUAAUACUUUUGGAGGCAUCUUCGGGAGUUGAAAGUUCCGGCGGUUACGGAUGGGCAUGCGUUGUAUUAGCUAGUUGGUGUGGUAACGGCAUACCAAGGCAACGAUACAUAGGGGGACUGAGAGGUUAACCCCCCACAUUGGUACUGAGACACGGACCAAACUCC